RNAcentral lists this ribosomal RNA (458 nucleotides) under uncultured bacterium. RNAcentral describes it as "partial 16S ribosomal RNA". It matches the Rfam family "Bacterial small subunit ribosomal RNA", at positions 338 to 795 of the family's 1533-position model. The record is from RNAcentral.
CCUACGGGUGGCUGCAGUGGGGAAUAUUGCACAAUGGGGGAAACCCUGAUGCAGCGACGCCGCGUGCGUGAAGAAGUCUUUCGGUAUGUAAAGCUCUAUCAGCAGGGAAGAAAUAGCGACCUUUGGGUCGCCAGACGGUACCUGCUUAAGAAGCCCCGGCUAACUACGUGCCAGCAGCCGCGGUAAUACGUAGGGGGCAAGCGUUAUCCGGAUUUACUGGGUGUAAAGGGAGCGUAGACGGCAGCGCAAGUCUGAAGUGAAAUGCCGGGGCUUAACCGCGGAACUGCUUUGGAAACUGGGCAGCUAGAGUGCAGGAGAGGUAAGUGGAAUUCCUAGUGUAGCGGUGAAAUGCGUAGAUAUUAGGAGGAACACCAGUGGCGAAGGCGGGUGACUGGACUGUAACUGACGUUGAGGCUCGAAAGCGUGGGGAGCAAACAGGAUUAGAUACCCGAGUAGUC